This 515-nucleotide ribosomal RNA is filed under the name uncultured bacterium. RNAcentral describes it as "partial 16S ribosomal RNA". It matches the Rfam family "Bacterial small subunit ribosomal RNA", at positions 28 to 523 of the family's 1533-position model. The record is from RNAcentral.
GAUGAACGCUGGCGGCGUGCCUAAUACAUGCAAGUCGAGCGAAUGGAUUAAGAGCUUGCUCUUAUGAAGUUAGCGGCGGACGGGUGAGUAACACGUGGGUAACCUGCCCAUAAGACUGGGAUAACUCCGGGAAACCGGGGCUAAUACCGGAUAACAUUUUGAACCGCAUGGUUCGAAAUUGAAAGGCGGCUUCGGCUGUCACUUAUGGAUGGACCCGCGUCGCAUUAGCUAGUUGGUGGGGUAACGGCUCACCAAGGCAACGAUGCGUAGCCGACCUGGGAGGGUGACCGGCCACACUGGGACUGGGACACGGCCCAGAGUCCUACGGGAGGCAGCAGUAGGGAAUCUUCCGCAAUGGACGAAAGUCUGACGGAGCAACGCCGCGUGAGUGAUGAAGGCUUUCGGGUCGUAAAACUCUGUUGUUAGGGAAGAACAAGUGCUAGUUGAAUAAGCUGGCACCUUGACGGUACCUAACCAGAAAGCCACGGCUAACUACGUGCCAGCCGCCGCCGUAA